GUGGCAUUACACAAUGUUAGUUGUGCGUUCCUUGGCUACAGGGGACGCAGCAUACGGCUCAGUAACACGUAGUCAACCUGCCCUGGAGACGCGGACAAACCCGGGAAACUGGGGCCUAUCCGCGAUAGAUGACCUCAUCUGGAAGGAGAGGUCGUCCAAAAGGGCGCAUGGGUAUGCUCUGUGCGCAUCGCUCCAGGAUGGGACUGCGGCCGAUCAGGCUGUUGGCGGGGUAAUGGCCCACCAAACCUGUAACCGGUACGGGCUUUGAGAGAAGGAGCCCGGAGAUGGACACUGAGACAAGGGUCCAGGCCCUACGGGGCGCAUCAGGCGCGAAAACUUCGCAAUGCGCGAAAGCGUGACGAGGCUAGUCCGAGUGCUUCCUGCUAAAGGGGGCUUUUCUCGGCUGUAAAUAGGCCGGGGAAUAAGGGGAGGGCAAGUCUGGUGUCAGCA
RNAcentral lists this ribosomal RNA (450 nucleotides) under uncultured archaeon. Its description in RNAcentral is "bacterial SSU rRNA". It matches the Rfam family "Archaeal small subunit ribosomal RNA", at positions 38 to 463 of the family's 1478-position model. The record is from RNAcentral.